Molecule: ribosomal RNA, 167 nt
Filed under: uncultured bacterium
Lineage: Bacteria
Description: partial 16S ribosomal RNA
Rfam family: Bacterial small subunit ribosomal RNA
Source: RNAcentral
AGGCAGCAGUGGGGAAUUUUGCGCAAUGGGCGAAAGCCUGACGCAGCAACGCCGCGUGAGUGAUGAAGGCCCUCGGGUCGUAAAGCUCUGUCAGAGGGGAAGAAACUUUUGGGGGAGAAUAUCCCUUGAAACUGACGGUACCCUCAAAGGAAGCACCGGCUAACUCC